Molecule: non-coding RNA, 71 nt
Filed under: bovine gut metagenome
Description: Glycine riboswitch
Rfam family: Glycine riboswitch aptamer
About the family: This family represents the bacterial glycine riboswitch. Glycine riboswitches usually consist of two metabolite-binding aptamers domains with similar structures in tandem.
Source: RNAcentral
GGACCCGGGAGAGACUGCCGCUUGGCGGCGCCGAAGGGGAAUGCAAUAACUCUCAGGCAAAAGGAUCGGGU